This 74-nucleotide transfer RNA is filed under the name Acholeplasmatales bacterium. RNAcentral describes it as "tRNA-Gly". It matches the Rfam family "tRNA". From Rfam's summary of the family: Transfer RNA (tRNA) molecules are approximately 80 nucleotides in length. Their secondary structure includes four short double-helical elements and three loops (D, anti-codon, and T loops). Lineage: Bacteria; Bacillati; Mycoplasmatota; Mollicutes; Acholeplasmatales. The record is from RNAcentral.
GCGGGCGUAGUUCAAUGGUAGAAUUCCAGCCCUCCAAGCUGAUUAUGGGGGUUCGAUUCCCCUCGCCCGCUCCA